UGCCAAAGUUUUCCUUGGUAAUUAACUGCAGCCGGUUCCGUAAUUCGGCAGUUAACUGCCGAAGGUAUU
RNAcentral lists this microRNA precursor (69 nucleotides) under Medicago truncatula (barrel medic). Its description in RNAcentral is "MIR2629 microRNA precursor family". It matches the Rfam family "MIR2629 microRNA precursor family". The record is from Rfam by way of RNAcentral. Lineage: Eukaryota; Viridiplantae; Streptophyta; Magnoliopsida; Fabales; Fabaceae.